This 25-nucleotide non-coding RNA is filed under the name Cricetulus griseus (Chinese hamster). The record is from RNAcentral. Lineage: Eukaryota; Metazoa; Chordata; Mammalia; Rodentia; Cricetidae.
UACAUGUUGAGGACUGGUCUGAAGC